UAGCAGAGCAGUAGCCUGGGAAUCAGGAGACCCUGGCUGACCUGAUGUGCCACCUUGGACACAUCACUUCUCUAUGCCGCUGAUUCCCAUCUAACUCUCCAUCAGCCUCGUCUCUUUAGCCUGAAAGCUCCUUGAGGCAGGGACUCUCUCUUCUUCGUGCAUGCAGCGCUGAGAUCAGUGGAGACCUGAUCUCAGCUGGACCCAGUAGGUGCUAUGGGUAUAUACAUAAUAAAGUUCCUGAAUCAAACCGUGUUAAUCAUCAUGGACUAUUGACUUCAGCGUGAUUACCUGUAUGCAGUUAAGCAACGUACAGCCUGCUUGAGAGAGAAAGGAGAGUAACAACUGAAAAUAUGAGCGGAGGAGAAGAGCGGAGGAGAAGAGCUCCUAGUCUCAGAAUCACAGGUCUGGCUGCUGCUGACUCCAAUGAGGGCAAACACAUCUUGUGUCUCACGCCUAAGGGCUGGAUCAUCCCCCUCUGCCACGGCAUGUGGAAGGAAGCCAGAUCCUGUUCAUCGUCGCCAGGCAGCAUGAAGCUGGAGAGCUGCAGCAUUGUCCCCUUCUACACCCCAGCCCUAUGGAAAUCCACCCCUAUGGAUAGAAGCUCCAGUGAAGAUCAGGGCCCCACUGUUCCAGCCACUAUGUCCCAGCCAUAGAAUCCCUGUGCCAAAGAACUUACAACAGAAGAAAAAGCUUGAAAUCCAAGGGUCCAAUCCUGCUCCUAUUAAGUCUAUGGAUUUUUUUCAUUGUCUUCAGUGAAAAUAGGAGCAAGCCUCAAGGCCCCCAUUGGACGUGCAAGCUCGGAGUCUCACCAAAGUCAGCUCACAGCUCUGCAGAAUGGAGGACGCUGAUGGAAUUACCACAGCUUCUGGGUCUAGCCAUUUUCUUCUUCCCCUCCCUUCUAUACUACCUUACUCCUUUGCCAGUGUGUAAAGUUCCAACUCUCACUUGAAGAAAGUCUAAGCUCCC
Mauremys reevesii (Reeves's turtle) is the source of this 966-nucleotide long non-coding RNA. RefSeq lists it as uncharacterized. The transcript has 4 exons. NCBI's taxonomy places the organism in Eukaryota, Metazoa, Chordata, Testudines, Geoemydidae. The record is from RefSeq and is a predicted model, not a curated record.